Molecule: long non-coding RNA, 473 nt
Organism: Oncorhynchus tshawytscha (Chinook salmon)
Lineage: Eukaryota; Metazoa; Chordata; Actinopteri; Salmoniformes; Salmonidae
Source: Ensembl
CAUGGAGAGAGAUGAGGACAGAGAAGGGUUAUGGAGAGAGAUGAGGACAGAGAAGGGUCAUGGAGAGAGAUGACAGAGAAGGGUCAUGGAGAGAGAUGACAGAGAAGGGUCAUGGAGAGAGAUGAGGACAGAGAAGGGUCAUGGAGAGAGAUGGGGACAGAGAAGGUUAUGGAGAGAGAUGGAGAGAUGAGGACAGAGAAGGGUUAUGGAGAGAGAUGAGGACAGAGAAGGUUAUGGAGAGAGAUGGGGACAGAGAAGGGUCAUGGAGAGAGAUGGGGACAGAGAAGGGUCAUGGAGAGAGAUGGAGAGAGAUGAGGACAGAGAAGGUUAUGGAGAGAGAUGAGGACAGAGAAGGUUAUGGAGAGAGAUGGAGAGAUGAGGACAGAGAAGGGUCAUGGAGAGAGAUGAGGACAGAGAAGGUUCAUGGAGAGAGAUGAGGACAGAGAAGGUUAUGGAGAGAGAUGAGGACAGAG